UACGGGCAGCAGUGAGGAAUAUUGGUCAAUGGACGAGAGUCUGAACCAGCCAAGUAGCGUGCAGGAUGACUGCCCUAUGGGUUGUAAACUGCUUUUAUGCGGGAAUAAAGUCAGGUACGUGUACCUGUUUGUAUGUACCGCAUGAAUAAGGACCGGCUAAUUCCGUGCCAGCAGCCGCGGUAAU
This 184-nucleotide ribosomal RNA is filed under the name uncultured rumen bacterium. RNAcentral describes it as "partial 16S ribosomal RNA". It matches the Rfam family "Bacterial small subunit ribosomal RNA", at positions 340 to 524 of the family's 1533-position model. The record is from RNAcentral.